Molecule: ribosomal RNA, 441 nt
Filed under: uncultured bacterium
Lineage: Bacteria
Description: bacterial SSU rRNA
Rfam family: Bacterial small subunit ribosomal RNA
Source: RNAcentral
CCUACGGGGGGCAGCAGUCGGGAAUAUUGCGCAAUGGAGGAAACUCUGACGCAGUGACGCCGCGUGCAGGAAGAAGGUUUUCGGAUUGUAAACUGCUUUAGACAGGGAAGAAUAAUGACAGUACCUGUAGAAUAAGCUCCGGCUAACUACGUGCCAGCAGCCGCGGUAAUAUGUAGGGUGCAAGCGUUAUCCGGAUUUACUGGGUGUAAAGGGAGCGUAGACGGAAGAGCAAGUCUGGAGUGAAAGCCCGGGGCUCAACCCCGGGACUGCUUUGGAAACUGUUUAUCUAGAGUGCCGGAGAGGCAAGCGGAAUUCCUAGUGUAGCGGUGUAAUGCGUAGAUAUUAGGAGGAACACCAGUGGCGAAGGCGGCUUGCUGGACGGUAACUGACGUUGAGGCUCGAAAGCGUGGGGAGCAAACAGGAUUAGAUACCCUUGUAGUC